This 424-nucleotide ribosomal RNA is filed under the name Bacillus sp. A-Se-N-11-1. Its description in RNAcentral is "bacterial SSU rRNA". It matches the Rfam family "Bacterial small subunit ribosomal RNA", at positions 419 to 835 of the family's 1533-position model. Lineage: Bacteria; Bacillati; Bacillota; Bacilli; Caryophanales; Bacillaceae. The record is from RNAcentral.
CGGAUCGUAAAGCUCUGUUGUUAGGGAAGAACAAGUGCGAGAGUAACUGCUCGCACCUUGACGGUACCUAACCAGAAAGCCACGGCUAACUACGUGCCAGCAGCCGCGGUAAUACGUAGGUGGCAAGCGUUGUCCGGAAUUAUUGGGCGUAAAGGGCUCGCAGGCGGUUUCUUAAGUCUGAUGUGAAAGCCCCCGGCUCAACCGGGGAGGGUCAUUGGAAACUGGGAAACUUGAGUGCAGAAGAGGAGAGUGGAAUUCCACGUGUAGCGGUGAAAUGCGUAGAGAUGUGGAGGAACACCAGUGGCGAAGGCGACUCUCUGGUCUGUAACUGACGCUGAGGAGCGAAAGCGUGGGGAGCGAACAGGAUUAGAUACCCUGGUAGUCCACGCCGUAAACGAUGAGUGCUAAGUGUUAGGGGGUUUCC